RNAcentral lists this long non-coding RNA (8086 nucleotides) under Triticum aestivum (bread wheat). RNAcentral describes it as "long non-coding RNA (TAES_LNC025796)". The record is from RNAcentral. Lineage: Eukaryota; Viridiplantae; Streptophyta; Magnoliopsida; Poales; Poaceae.
GUGUGACGCCCGGAUAAUCAAGCUACAGUAAACCUCUGCUAAUGAUGCCACGUCACCUCGAUUACUAUUGCUAAUCUCGCGUUAGGUCGAAACCAGUUCGAAUUCAAAUUCAAAAUCAAGCAAACAAUAAAAGUUUUCAAAUAUUAAAACUAAAAUGUUUGGAGUGAGCCAAAUAAUGCAUAGGUAAUUAUGGUGGAGAAACCACACUUUUAUAAAAUGUUUAAAUACUCUUAAAUGAAUAAAAGAGUAGCACAAACAAUUAUUUUAAUGCUUUAAAAAUAAUAAACAUUUUCAAAAGUAAAUUGUUAUAAGUAUUAAACUAUUGUGGCAGUGGCAUAAUUUGUAAAAUCCUAUUUAGGUGCCACUUUGGUAAUUUACUAAAACUAAAAUAAAAGGAAACUAAAAGAAAGCAAAGUAUAAAAAAGCAGAAAACAAAACUAACAAAAAAAGGGAAAUAGAAGAACCCCCCCACUGGGCCACGGCCCAGCUGGUCUCUGGACCCACUAGGCCGGUCCAGUCGGCCCAGCCGCCGCCCGACCUAACCCUAGACGACCAACGCCCCCACUCCCCUCGUUCCCCACUCGCCCCACUCGUUUCCCCGCACGCCUUCCUCUCCUUCCUCGAUCUGGAUCGGGGGGCAACGACCCCGACCCCGAUCUCGCAUCGCCCCGCUCGUCCCUCGACACCGCCGCUUGCCCUACACCCGCCCGAUGCCGUCCCUCGUUGCCCGGAGCCCGCGUCGACCGCGCCAAGCCGCCUCCUCGCUGGAGAUGGACGGAUGCCGGAGGCCCCGUCGCGGAUCUGGCCUCCCCUCGCCUUGCUCCCCUCGCCGGAGUCCCCUCGCCGACCGGUGCCCGCCUCCGCCACCACUGCCGUGCCGGUGCCUCGCCGUCUCGGUCGCGUCCACCGUGGCUCCCCGCGGCCCCAGCGAGCACGCUCGCGCCUGUGGGCUGCCACCUCCGCCCCGCAGCUUCUCCGUCGUCCCCGUCGCCGGCCAUCCUCGAGCUCGCUGCCAAAUGCCCUACAGCAGCAACGUGAGGCCCUCUGUCACCUCCCCCCCCCCUACACACUACUUCACCGUAGGGUGCCAACGCCGACGCGCCCGAGCUCGUGCUCCCCCCGCUCGCGUCUCCCCACUUGCGUUGGCUGCCGCUCGUCGAUUGCCCCUCCUUUGUAGCUCGCUCAGCUUCGCGCGGCCCCGCAGUGCUGCCCGCGCCGACCAACGCCUCCCGUGACCCCCCCUGCUGCGGGCCUCGCCNNNNNNNNNNNNNNNNNNNNNNNNNNNNNNNNNNNNNNNNNNNNNNNNNNNNNNNNNNNNNNNNNNNNNNNNNNNNNNNNNNNNNNNNNNNNNNNNNNNNNNNNNNNNNNNNNNNNNNNNNNNNNNNNNNNNNNNNNNNNNNNNNNNNNNNNNNNNNNNNNNNNNNNNNNNNNNNNNNNNNNNNNNNNNNNNNNNNNNNNNNNNNNNNNNNNNNNNNNNNNNNNNNNNNNNNNNNNNNNNNNNNNNNNNNNNNUGCACCGACUCGCCUGGGCCGCUGCCGUCGCCCGCCCGGCCUCAUCCGCCGCGGCGCCCCUGGGUCACCGCACCAGCGCUGGCGCACUCACGGGGCUCUGCCCUGGCACCCCCAUGCCCGUUAGCCCGCGUGCCCAUGCCCGCUAGGACCCCCCUUGCCUAUGACACAAGGGCCCCAAGCCCCCUGAAUGUUUAAAAAAAGGAUUAAAGAAAAUAAAUAAAAAUAAAAAUGAAUAAAUAAAAUAAAUUAUUAAUUAAUGAAUGAAUUAAUUAUGUUAAUUAAUCAUGUUUAAUUAAUCUAAUUAACUAGUAGUUUAAUUAAACAGUAAUUAGUUUAGCUAAUUCCUAAUUAAUCUAAACAGGGAAUGACAGGUGGGUCCCAUUGGACCCACACGUCAGUUUGACCAGUCAACAUCUCUGUUGACUACUGACGUCAGCAUGCACUAUUCUGGAUAAUGUUGAACUAAAUUAAUUAAAUAAAUUCUAAAAUGACUUAAAACUUAAGAAAAUCAUUUAAAAUAAACCGUAGCUCAGAUGAAAAUACUUUCUACACGAAAGUUGCUCAGAACGACGAGACGAAUCCGGAUGCGCAGUCCGUUCGUCCGACACACAUCCCUAACCUAUCGAACUCGCAACUUUCCCCCUCCGGUUCAUCUGUCCGAAAACACAAAACACCGGGAAUCAUUUCUCGGAUGUUUCCCCCCUUUCCCGGUAUCACCUAGUACUGUGUUAGGGCACACCUAGCACCGUGUAUUGCUAUGUUAUGCCUUGUGUUGCUUUGAUUUCUUUGUUAUUUAUUGUGUUCCCUCUCCGUUACUUCUUUCCGGUAGACCCCGGGACUGCCGGCGACCCCCAGUUCGACUACGAUGUCGAUGACCCCUCACUCUUGCCAAAGCAACCAGGCAAGCCCCCCCUUUGAUCACCAGAUAUCGCCUAUUCUUCUCUCUACUGCUUGCAUUAGAGUAGUGUAGCAUGUUACUGCUUUCCGUUAAUCCUAUCUUGAUGCAUAGCCUGUCCUUGCUACUACUGUUGUUACCUUUACCUGCAAUCCUAAAUGCUUAGUAUAGGAUGCUAGUGUUCCAUCAGUGGCCCUACACUCUUGUCCGUCUGCCAUGCUAUACUACUGGGCCGUGAUUACUCGGGAGGUGAUCACGGGCAUAUGAUAUAUACUUAUACUAUUACAUUACUUAUGAUAUUGUUUGGAGAUGGGGGCUAAAGGGGCACGUGGCUCCAUCCCGGUAGAGGUGGGCCUGGGUUCCCGACUACCCCCAAUUGUUACUUUGAGGCGGAGCGACAGAUCAGGUUGAGACCACCUAGGAGAGAGGUGGGCCUGGCCCUGGUCGGCGUUCGUGGAUACUUAACAUGCUUAACGAGAUCUUGGUAUUUGAUCUGAGUCUGGAUACUGGCCUAUACGCACUAACCAUCUACGCGGGGACAGUUAUGGGCACUCGACGCCGUGGUAUUAGCCGAAGCCUUCGUGACGUCAGCGACUAAGCAGCGCGCGCCGGGUUGGACUGGAACGCCUACCCUUGUAUAAGGGAGGCUAGGUCUACUCACCGACCGCGUACGCAACGUGCAGGUGUGCAAUGGGUGAUGGGCCCAGACCCCUGCGCCAUAGGAUUUAGACCGGCGUGUUGACCUCUCUGUUGUGCCUAGGUAGGGCUGCGACGUGUUGAUCUUCCGAGGCCGGGCAUGACCCAGAAAAGUGUGUCCGGACAAAGGGGGUCGAGCGUGUUGGGAAAUGUGGUGCACCCCUGCAGGGAAGUUAAUCUAUUCGAAUAGCCGUGAUCUUCGGUAACAGGAAGACUUGGAGUUGUACCUUGACCUUAUGACAACUAGAACCAGAUACUUAAUAAAACACACCCUUCCAAGUGCCAGAUACAACUGGUGAUCGCUCUCUCAUAGGGCGACGAGGGAAGGAUCAUCGGUUAGGAUUAUGCUACAUGAUGCUACUUGGUGAACUUACCAUCUACUCUCUUCUCCUGCUGCAAGAUGGAGGUUACUAGAAGCGUAGUCUUCGAAAGGACUAGCUAUCCCCCUCUUAUUCCGGCAUUCUACAGUUUAGUCCACAUAUGAUACCCUUAUUCCAUUUGAUACCAAUGCAUACAUAUGUAGUGUAGCUCCUUGCUUGCGAGUACUUUGGAUGAGUACUCACGGUUGCUUUGCUCCCUCUUUUCCCCCUUUCUAUACCCGAUUGCUGCGACCAGACGUUGGAGCCCAGGAGCCAGACGCCACCGUCGAUGACGACUACUACUACUCGGGAGGUGCCUAAUACUACGUGCAGCCCGCUGUCGACGACCAGGAGUAGUUUAGGAGGAUCCCAGGGAGGAGGCCUGCGCCUCUUUCGAUCUGUAUCCCAGUUUGUGCUAGCCUUCUUAAGGCAAACUUGUUUAACUUAUGUCCGUCCUCAGAUAUUGUUGCUUCCGCUGACUCGUCUAUGAUCGAGCUCUUGUAUUCGAGCCCUCGAGGCCCCUGGCUUGUAAUAUGAUGCUUGUAUGACUUAUUUUAUUUGUAGAGUUGUGUUGUGAUAUCUUCCUGUGAGUCCCUGAUCUUGAUCGUACAUGUUUGCGUGUAUGAUUAGUGUACGACUGAAUCGGGGGCGUCACAAGUUGGUAUCAUAGCCGACUGCCUAUAGGAAUGCCCCUUCCACACUCCUUGGCCGAAGUCGAGUUUAGACAUGACGAAACUUUUACUAACAUGGCUGUGUGCCUUAUGGGCCCACGUUGCCAUUGGGUGGUAUUAAGAUCUUUUAUUCCUCAACCUGUACUCUGGGACUCUAAUCUCUCCCCUAUUCGGGUUAAAUGAUUUUGCUAAAAGGACUAACUUUAGGUUCUCGUAAAUACUUUCUCCCGGAGAGCCCCUCACUCCAGAUGAUCGCUUGCUGCACCAGAAGAUUCCGAAGAUACUCUCCGAGGUUUUCCCGAGACCCUUGUGCCCACCGACUUUACAAUCCCCUACCACCGGUAUACCCUUAUGGAUAACUACCUACAAUUGUCGUUCAUACCUUCAUUCUCAGUUGCUCUUGUUAUUACGAGAUGCCCUAAAUUGCUCUCCGUUGUUCCAAAAAUCCAUUAAGCUUACUGCCUUGCUGUUCUUUGUCACCUGAAUACCCCUAUGGAUAAUUCUCGCACUUAUCGAGUAUCCGUUCGUCCCUAGUUGUUCGUAUGUUUCAUAAGAUACUCUAAAAUACUACCCGACCUCCUGAACAUCCUCUUCAAACUAUUGCUCUACAAAUACAUGUAUGCUUACAUUAUGGGUGCUCCCAUAUCACUAGCAAUAUUCACUAGUAUCUUUUGAGACUGUCAUUUUGAUCCUAUUGAUUCAACAUGUGUGCGAAUGCACACAAUCAUCAAUCGACCCUUCUAAAUUAUCUUUCCGGCUCAGACGUCAUUUUGAACCUGAGCUGGUUCUCGACCAAACAAAUUGCCGUCGAUUGUGCCCCUAAGUCUACUCAACUUAUCCAUCCUUACUCAGAGCGUUUGUUUCUGAGACCUUAAUUUGGAAGUCAUAAUUCCUUUGCAUUUGAGCUUCGAUUAGUCAGUUGUUCCAUAAACUGAUAUCUUUGCAUUCCUUCUUCCUCUGGUUGAGUACUGUUGCUCACAUCAGACCCCUGGUGGACCACGAGAUCCUUUGUUGGAUUUUAUUCGACAGCGUCCUUCAUAUUCUAUAAGCUUGUGAGCCUUUCCUCGGAUACAUAAUGAUUUUGGUAAAUUGUAUCCUCUAUUUUCUCAACCAUGCUCUGUUUUCGAGCUGGUGGUAUUCACGAUUGAAGUUUGUCGUAUAUGUUUCCACGAUACCCUGACGGGUUGAACCUAUGCCUUUCUUAAUCUGUGUGAACCCGAAAGUUUUCACGGGUCAUACUCCUCUAGUAAUUCACAAGGUAGGUUUUGACCCUGAAAUCAUUUUUAUCUAGAGCAGUGAAUGAAAGCUUAUGCAUUGAAGAAGUGGGAGUCGACCUUGAACUUUGUGUUCAUGCCCAUGGACCCAAUGUAGAUCUUAUCAUUAAAGCUUCUCUUAAAUUAAUUUUUUUCCCUUGGUAUAAGUUCUUAUAUCUAGGAUCCGGCCUUUUGCAAUCGUGGUUUCGACCAUAUGAUCUUCUUUGACCCCAUCUCACGGGCAAGUUUAAGCACUUGUCUUCUGUGGAUCAAUACACCAGUCCAACCUUUACUUUGAUCUUCCGUCAAGUAUUACACCAUGGUAACUCGAUAAUAUCAAGUACUACCUAACCUCUUAUGAGUUCUUCACCAAGUACUACAUUCUCACUGAUUCCAAUUUUUCACGGGCUCUGAGUUAUUAAACACUCAAAGACCGAUAACUGAACCGACUCCACACUAUGGUUCAACAACUAUUAUAAGUCUUCUUUGCUUACGAGAUUGUACCCGAUUAUGUCCUUCCUACCCUAUUUGGCUAUAUCAUUAUUGUGAUGAUUUUAACUGUGCUACCUCGUCCUUCUUCCCGGAGCACAAUUUUUGAUGAUGAGCUAAGCUUACGUCGAUUUUCCUCAUCAUAUCAUUUAUCCUUAAACCACAAGCUUGGUUUCGAGUUUGUGCCGUACCCGUGGUUCCAAUAACCUUUUGCUUCAUCAUUUUUUUGACUUGAUGUCAUCGCCGAUGGAUUACAUCUUCAUGAAAUCUCUCAACAAUUGUGUCGUGAUCAUCAUCAAUCUUAUGAGCUCUUCUAGGAUAUCAAUCGAAGUCAUGAUGAGAAAUACAACCCUUGCCCCUCGAUGAAUUGUGGUAUCAUCGACAACUUUAUUGCCUUCCCUCCAACACAAACUUGUUCAUGUUCUGUGCUAUGCCUUGAGUUCCUUGCUAUCCAACAUUUGUUCUUCUUUACCUUGGAGUAUUACCAUCUUUUAUAUCCAGGAUGUCGUGCUUAGCACACCCGGCCGAAUGUCCUAUUAAUAUAGAUUCCUUUUCAGCAAGGUUGGCCAUUCUUCCAUGAGGAAGUUGUAAGACUUAUUCUGUGAGUUGAUCCUGAUGGAUCCUUUGUGUAUCCAAAGUCCGACCUUGCUCGAAGACCAUGUCAAUGCUAUCUCGAAGCAUGUAUGUGGUACUCCGAUUUUCAACAAGAACAUUUGAAGCCCAAUGCUAAAUGUUUCUUGCUCAAUUAUCCAAACACCAUUGCAUGGGUAAUGUCAUGAAAUUUCUCUCCCGCUUACCUAAAGAGUUUUCUACAUUAUAUCCUGUCAUGGAUAUCAUGCUCUGCUUGUCCUUGGGAAGGAUAUACCCUUGAAAUAUGUGUUAAAACACAUUUUCCUUUCCAUUGUUCUGUUUAAUCUGAUAAUCAUAUUUUCUUUUCCAUUGGUUGGUUUAACGUUGGUUGUGAUCCAUAAGAUCUAAGCAGUAAUAUUCUCCUGCUUAUGUAAACAUCUCGGUGUACAAUUCUGUCAACACGACCCUGUUACUAUUGUUGAUGACAUUUCGGUAGCCACCGAUGGACAAGAACUUUGCCUACAGGUCCGCCUUGUUUCAACGAGUAGGAAGAUGGUUCUCUUUGUCCCUCGCCCUUGGUACCGACGUUGUUGCCGACAUAACUGACAGGCUAUCUGCUGACAUGUGUUGCCUACAUGGUCAUACAAGGCGUCACCGUCCAUCCUACUUUAGAACCACAUGGUGGGCCCAUAACCCACAGUUCCACAGGAUCGAAACCUGACUCUCAUGUACACCCCCUAUUCCCAGAGUUAUUCCUCGCGCGUGGUCUCAUAUGUAAUUCACGAGCCACCUUCCGUGUGAUCAUCAAUUAUGCUAUCAAACACAUUACCUAUACCCGUCGCCUUGUUUCAGGCAACGACGAUUGUCUAUCCGCUUCAAUCUUCUUAAGGUACCUUCUUACUUUGCUCUCGAUGUGUUUCAUUUGUUCAACUCGAGAGAUACUCUUACGAUCAUUCUUGGGAUACCCCCCCAGAUGAUUUUACCUUAUAACAUUCAAUUGUUGAAAAACUGCCCCUUACCUAUUCGUAAGUACGAUGGAGUUCUCGAAGAAAGGACGACAACUUCAUGAUGACCUGAAACAGCAAAAUGAAGACAUCAAUGUAAUGGAUCAACCUCUUCGACAAGAACAACCAAGACCAAGAACACUCCCUAGAAUUUCGUAACCCGAACCUUCCCCCUUUACUUCCGUCUUAAAUCUCGGGACGAGAUUUCUUGUAGUGGAGGAGAAUUGUGACGCCCGGAUAAUCAAGCUACAUUAAACCUUUGCUAAUGAUGCCACGUCACCUCGAUUACUGUUGCUAAUCUCGCGUUAGGUCGAAACCAGUUCGAAUUCAAAUUCAAAAUCAAGCAAACAAUAAAAGUUUUCAAAUAUUAAAACUAAAAUGUUCGGAGUGAGCCAAAUAAUGCAUAGGUAAUUAUGGUGGAGAAACCACACUUUUAUAAAAUGUUUAAAUACUCUUAAAUGAAUAAAAGAGUAGCAAAAACAAUUAUUUUAAUGCUUUAAAAAUAAUAAACAUUUUCAAAACUAAAUUGUUAUAAGUAUUAAACUAUUGUGGCAGUGGCAUAAUUUGUAAAAUCCUAUUUAGGUGCCACUUUGGUAAUUUACUAAAACUAAAAUAAAAGGAAACUAAAAGAAAGCAAA